This 81-nucleotide transfer RNA is filed under the name Paragonimus heterotremus. It matches the Rfam family "tRNA". From Rfam's summary of the family: Transfer RNA (tRNA) molecules are approximately 80 nucleotides in length. Their secondary structure includes four short double-helical elements and three loops (D, anti-codon, and T loops). Lineage: Eukaryota; Metazoa; Platyhelminthes; Trematoda; Plagiorchiida; Troglotrematidae. The record is from Rfam by way of RNAcentral.
GGCUUCGGAGCUCAGCUGGUGGAGCGCUUGCCGCGUAGAGGCAUGGUGUUUCUGUCGCUGGUUCGAAUCCAGCCGAAGCCC